AUGCAACGUGGAUCAAUAACCUAUACUACCCUAACCGUCGUCAAAGAUGUCCACUAUCUCCGCGCCUGGCUCCGGGUACAUGGCCGGCAGCAGCAGCUCCGGCUCCUCCACGCCGGCCUCCGCAUCCAUCUUCCCUUCGACCUCAUCGAAGAGCGUGUCAGUUGUUGCGUGUUUCUGCCGGAUGAACAUGUGUAUAGGGAAAGCUAUGCGUACAACCUAGGGGGCAAAGAUAGUUCAAAAUCCAUGUAA
This 249-nucleotide ribosomal RNA is filed under the name Triticum aestivum (bread wheat). RNAcentral's name for it is "partial small subunit ribosomal RNA". The record is from RNAcentral. Lineage: Eukaryota; Viridiplantae; Streptophyta; Magnoliopsida; Poales; Poaceae.